Molecule: long non-coding RNA, 443 nt
Organism: Neltuma alba
Lineage: Eukaryota; Viridiplantae; Streptophyta; Magnoliopsida; Fabales; Fabaceae
Exons: 3
Source: RefSeq, a predicted model, not a curated record
CCACCAAAAGCGGAAGGUAGAUGAUAGCUGAAAGCCUCGAGUCUCCAAGGUUGAGAACCAAUACAAAUCAAGCACGCCGUAAAUUUUGAUUAUGUUCGGCAGAAGUAGAUUUCUUUCUUUUCCGAUGGUGAUUGGAGCUGUCGUGAUCGGUGUGGUUUCUGGUAAGGCAAUAUUUGGACCACCAAUUGAUGAGUAUUGGAAAAAGAAGCUUCAGGAAGAAGCAUCAGCAAAGGAGGAGGACUCAAGCUCCACUUAGCUCUCCAUCGCAUUAAGUCUUGCCAUAAUUGCUUUUUCAUUGGACUGAAGUUGAAAAGUGGCAGACAACAUUUUUAUUUUGGGUUGUACUCCAAAUAGUCAGUGCAUCAGCUGUGCUAUAUGUGGUUGUUUUGGGACACAGCUUCAGUUUCUAGUCGCUAAUUAUCAUGGAGGGACACCCCCCCCCC